RNAcentral lists this unclassified non-coding RNA (21 nucleotides) under Dictyostelium discoideum. Lineage: Eukaryota; Evosea; Eumycetozoa; Dictyosteliales; Dictyosteliaceae. The record is from RNAcentral.
GAAAUCUAUGGUUCUGAAGUA